AGUCGAGCGAAUGGAUUAAGAGCUUGCUCUUAUGAAGUUAGCGGCGGACGGGUGAGUAACACGUGGGUAACCUGCCCAUAAGACUGGGAUAACUCCGGGAAACCGGGGCUAAUACCGGAUAACAUUUUGAACCGCAUGGUUCGAAAUUGAAAGGCGGCUUCGGCUGUCACUUAUGGAUGGACCCGCGUCGCAUUAGCUAGUUGGUGAGGUAACGGCUCACCAAGGCAACGAUGCGUAGCCGACCUGAGAGGGUGAUCGGCCACACUGGGACUGAGACACGGCCCAGACUCCUACGGGAGGCAGCAGUAGGGAAUCUUCCGCAAUGGACGAAAGUCUGACGGAGCAACGCCGCGUGAGUGAUGAAGGCUUUCGGGUCGUAAAACUCUGUUGUUAGGGAAGAACAAGUGCUAGUUGAAUAAGCUGGCACCUUGACGGUACCUAACCAGAAAGCCACGGCUAACUACGUGCCAGCAGCCGCGGUAAUACGUAGGUGGCAAGCGUUAUCCGGAAUUAUUGGGCGUAAAGCGCGCGCAGGUGGUUUCUUAAGUCUGAUGUGAAAGCCCACGGCUCAACCGUGGAGGGGCAUUGGAAACUGGGAAACUUGAAUGCAGAAGAGGAAAGUGGAAUUCCAUGUGUAGCGGUGAAAUGCGUAGAGAUAUGGAGGAACACCAGUGGCGAAAGCGACUUUCUGGUCUGUAACUGACACUGAGGCGCGAAAGCGUGGGG
This 726-nucleotide ribosomal RNA is filed under the name Bacillus cereus. RNAcentral describes it as "bacterial SSU rRNA". It matches the Rfam family "Bacterial small subunit ribosomal RNA", at positions 60 to 766 of the family's 1533-position model. Lineage: Bacteria; Bacillati; Bacillota; Bacilli; Caryophanales; Bacillaceae. The record is from RNAcentral.